GGCGGCGUAUUGCUCAGCCCGUUUCUGGUCUAUGUGCUGAUGGCCCUGGCGCUUACCGGAUUGCUGCGUCUGGUGGUGCAGGCCACGCCUUUGGGGCGCUGGAUCUGGCACGAAGCAUUGUUCGAUGCCGCAUUG
Molecule: small RNA, 135 nt
Filed under: Pseudomonas guariconensis
Lineage: Bacteria; Pseudomonadati; Pseudomonadota; Gammaproteobacteria; Pseudomonadales; Pseudomonadaceae
Description: Pseudomonas sRNA P18
Rfam family: Pseudomonas sRNA P18
Source: RNAcentral